RNAcentral lists this transfer RNA (88 nucleotides) under Parachlamydiaceae bacterium. RNAcentral describes it as "tRNA-Leu". It matches the Rfam family "tRNA". Rfam says of the family: Transfer RNA (tRNA) molecules are approximately 80 nucleotides in length. Their secondary structure includes four short double-helical elements and three loops (D, anti-codon, and T loops). Lineage: Bacteria; Pseudomonadati; Chlamydiota; Chlamydiia; Parachlamydiales; Parachlamydiaceae. The record is from RNAcentral.
UGCUCGGAUGGUGAAAUGGUAGACACUAGGGACUUAAAAUCCCUUGGCAGCAAUGCCGUGCCGGUUCGAGUCCGGCUUCGAGCAUCCA